Molecule: long non-coding RNA, 640 nt
Organism: Dioscorea cayenensis subsp. rotundata (Guinea yam)
Lineage: Eukaryota; Viridiplantae; Streptophyta; Magnoliopsida; Dioscoreales; Dioscoreaceae
Exons: 4
Source: RefSeq, a predicted model, not a curated record
AUCAGCGCCCCAAUUUCUAGGGUUUCCUGCAAUCUUGAAGAAUCGAGAAGGAUUCAUGGUGGGACACGGUCAUGCGGUGCCGUUGGAGGUGGUGGGCACGGUGCUGGAGAUGGCUGACAUGGCUUGGACCGCCCUGGAGCACCGUCGCGAGCGGCAGCACGAGGCCGCCGAGGACCAGGAGUUGGCGCAGCUGCGAGCUGAGAACCUUCGUCUGAGAGGGCUUUUUGGAGGAGAAUCUCACUCUUCUUCAAGGCCUCUGCCAGGCUCCAUCCAUCUCUCGGGAUUGUCCUCCUGAUCUAUAUUCACGGCUUGUAGCUGUAGUGGAUUCUCCAGACUUCCAUUCUAAACUGGAAUCACUUCAUGAGGAAUCAUUGAAUGCAAAAGGUGGCAGCUUCCCAUUUCGAGAAGCCUCAGGUGCAGAUUUGAAGGCGAUGGAAGUACUAAUUCAUGUUGGUCAUGAUGAACCUAGUUGGUGGGUGUGGGUUACAAACGAUAUGGUUCCAAAUAAUUUGGAAGAAGUGAGCGAGAUAGAUAAAGAAAAUUAUGUGAUUGUUAGUGAAGAUAGUGUGGUUGAUGGCAUUGCUAAUUUCAUGGCUAGAUGCAUCAUUUCUAAUCCCAAAUCUCAGAUCCAUAAUCAGAG